RNAcentral lists this ribosomal RNA (301 nucleotides) under uncultured bacterium. RNAcentral's name for it is "partial 16S ribosomal RNA". It matches the Rfam family "Bacterial small subunit ribosomal RNA", at positions 509 to 807 of the family's 1533-position model. The record is from RNAcentral.
CAGUAGCCACGGUAAUACGUAGGUGGCAAGCGUUGUCCGGAAUUAUUGGGCGUAAAGGGCUCGCAGGCGGUUUCUUAAGUCUGAUGUGAAAGCCCCCGGCUCAACCGGGGAGGGUCAUUGGAAACUGGGAAACUUGAGUGCAGAAGAGGAGAGUGGAAUUCCACGUGUAGCGGUGACAUGCGUAGAGAUGUGGAGGAACACCAGUGGCGAAGGCGACCCUCUGGUCUGUAACUGACGCUGAGGAGCGAAAGCGUGGGGAGCGAACAGGAUUAGAUACCCGGGUAGUCCCUGUCUCUUAUAC